Oxyura jamaicensis (ruddy duck) is the source of this 1029-nucleotide long non-coding RNA. RefSeq lists it as uncharacterized. The record is from RefSeq and is a predicted model, not a curated record. NCBI's taxonomy places the organism in Eukaryota, Metazoa, Chordata, Aves, Anseriformes, Anatidae. The transcript has 2 exons.
UGUUUAAAGUCACAAGAGGGACUGUCAACACCACUGAAAAAAAAAAAUGAAAUCCUCACCAGUAGUAAAAUUACCAUUUAAAUAUUUUGGUAUUGAAAACCUUAGAGAGAACGUACAGAUUAAAUUAAAUGCCUUAAAUUCAGAUUAAGCUCCAAAAUUAAUGAAAUGCAGAAAGAGGUGUUUUCAGGGAGCAUGGCAGGCACUGAAUUAGGAGUUUGAUUUUUCAAGUCUUCCUUUACAGUGAAUGGAGAGAAAGACGUCUCUCCAGAAUACAGGCAGAGAAUAGGUUCCUGUUCUGAGAAGAAAAAAAAAAAAAAAAAAAAAAGUGAAAAUUUAGGUAAAGUUAUCUUGAUAAAUACCUACUGAAAUAGUUACAGCCGUUCCAAAAUAGCCUUAUUAUCAGAAAGGCAAAGUAGUUUGCUUGCAGCAAAAUAGCCUGAAGGUCCUGAAGGUAGAUCUGUAGCAGAUUUUUUUGAUAGAAAAUGAUUUCAAGAAAACUCAAGUGAGGACACAUAAGAAGUCCUUUGAGAACAUCUUCAGUUCUGCUAAUCUGAUUAUAGCAGUAUUUGCAAAGAACAUUAAAAAUGUUUGUCUCAAUAACAGCCAUACAUCAGUGUGAUGCUACGUAGGCUAGAAGUCUUCAGCAGCCUCAGGGCAGAUGCUUUGCCCUGCCCACCCAAUGUGACAAAGUGCAGCAUCAGUUCAACAUUUCGUUAUUAGUAUGCGUUAUUAGUAUGUGUUCACAAGCAACAAUCUUAUAAAACUAAUAGAGUAGUAACUUUUUUUCAUGCUGAGUUGUACAGCAUACCACGUGUGCUACAAGCAAUUAAACAAGAAAAUAGCAGCCAGGUAAUACAAUGGAUAUUAAAUAAAGAAGUAACAGAUCUUAAAGAGAUCAAUAUAUGAUUGUUGUGUAAACCGUGCAGCCCUUUCAACACAGAAAUCUGGAAAAAUGAAUCUCAUAUCUUCUUUUUCAUGUCUGCAUAUAUAGAUACCUAAUUAUGGUAGAAAUGAAAUAAGCAUUUAAUU